CCUACGGGAGGCAGCAGUGAGGAAUAUUGGUCAAUGGCCGGAAGGCUGAACCAGCCAUGUCGCGUGAAGGUCAGUGCCCUAUGGGCGUUAAACUUCUUUUGUGCGGGAGCAAUAAUGGUCACGUGUGGCCAGACGAGAGUACCGUACGAAUAAGCAUCGGCUAACUCCGUGCCAGCAGCCGCGGUAAUACGGGGGAUGCAAGCGUUAUCCGGAUUUAUUGGGUUUAAAGGGUGCGUAGGCUGUGAGGUAAGUCAGCGGUGAAAUGCCCCCGCUCAACGGGGUGAAGUGCCAUUGAUACUGCCUGGCUGGAAUGCGGAUGCCGUGGGAGGAAUGUGUGGUGUAGCGGUGAAAUGCAUAGAUAUCACACAGAACACCGAUUGCGAAGGCAUCUCACGAAUCCGCGAUUGACGCUGAUGCACGAAAGCGUGGGUAUCAAACAGGAUUAGAUACCCGAGUAGUC
This 460-nucleotide ribosomal RNA is filed under the name uncultured bacterium. RNAcentral's name for it is "partial 16S ribosomal RNA". It matches the Rfam family "Bacterial small subunit ribosomal RNA", at positions 338 to 795 of the family's 1533-position model. The record is from RNAcentral.